Molecule: non-coding RNA, 47 nt
Organism: Xiphophorus maculatus (southern platyfish)
Lineage: Eukaryota; Metazoa; Chordata; Actinopteri; Cyprinodontiformes; Poeciliidae
Source: Rfam
UCAGUGGUUUUACUAAAAACCACUGAACAUGUCCUUUGACUUUUUUG